UUAUCGGAGAGUUUGAUCCUGGCUCAGGACGAACGCUGGCGGCGUGCCUAAUACAUGCAAGUCGAGCGGACAGAUGGGAGCUUGCUCCCUGAUGUUAGCGGCGGACG
This 107-nucleotide ribosomal RNA is filed under the name Bacillus subtilis. RNAcentral's name for it is "partial 16S ribosomal RNA". It matches the Rfam family "Bacterial small subunit ribosomal RNA", at positions 1 to 104 of the family's 1533-position model. RNAcentral also lists the same sequence under 6 other names. Lineage: Bacteria; Bacillati; Bacillota; Bacilli; Caryophanales; Bacillaceae. The record is from RNAcentral.